RNAcentral lists this non-coding RNA (214 nucleotides) under unclassified sequences. RNAcentral's name for it is "PAGEV RNA". It matches the Rfam family "PAGEV RNA". The record is from Rfam by way of RNAcentral.
UGGGGGUUGGAAUUACGAUGCUGUGGCCCCCGCUAGCGUUGAACUGGUGAUCACGGGGAUCUUCACACACCAGUAAGUAUAGCCGCGUCUGCUUAAAGUAGGCCGCCAGGGGUUACUCACCACUGCCCUGGUGCUCCGAAUUUUAUGGAGUAGACGCGCUGCAUGCUUUGAAGGGGUAAGCUGUUGUUGGACAGCUUAGAAAAUGCAGACGCCG